GCCGAAAUAGCUCAGUUGGGAGAGCGUUGGGCUGAAGAUCUAAAGGUCCCUGGUUCGAUCCCGGGUUUCGGCG
Molecule: transfer RNA, 73 nt
Filed under: Rhipicephalus microplus (southern cattle tick)
Lineage: Eukaryota; Metazoa; Arthropoda; Arachnida; Ixodida; Ixodidae
Description: tRNA-Phe
Rfam family: tRNA
About the family: Transfer RNA (tRNA) molecules are approximately 80 nucleotides in length. Their secondary structure includes four short double-helical elements and three loops (D, anti-codon, and T loops).
Source: Rfam by way of RNAcentral